This 252-nucleotide non-coding RNA is filed under the name Eutreptiella gymnastica. The record is from RNAcentral. Lineage: Eukaryota; Euglenozoa; Euglenophyceae; Eutreptiales; Eutreptiaceae.
CCCAUGGAUGUAGCAGUAGUGGAGCCAAAGGUCACCUUUGCUCGCCUUCUCCACCUGAAGGACGGCAGAUCCGCAAAGGCUGCCCUGAAGCAUGGCAUGGAGUCUGUUCUUGGGGCAAUCAAGCUGGAGCGGGAGGAGCGCCGGCACACCUUCCUUGAGGAGCAGGCACAGCGUCUCCAGGCCCGCACGGAGGCUUUGGAGGCCCGCAUCCAGAAGGUUGCCGACCUGGAGCUGCUGCUGCAUAGGGCCCAG